RNAcentral lists this long non-coding RNA (3738 nucleotides) under Gallus gallus (chicken). The record is from RNAcentral. Lineage: Eukaryota; Metazoa; Chordata; Aves; Galliformes; Phasianidae.
UAUACUGAAUGUAACUAUUUACCUGGUGUUUAAGAGGUGAUUCUAUUCUUCUAAAUUCAGAGGGUUGGUUCUCUAGCUGAUAAACUAUCAAACCCCUUUCUGCAGUGGCCACAGCAGCCAUAGGAUGAACCUAAAUGAGUUAUAAAACAGGUUGGAAGAGAGGCAGUUGUGUUCAUAGCAUAACAAAGAACUCUACUUAUUAUUUGGCAGAAAUCCCUGAAGAAUUUUACAGCAUCAGACUUCUUUCUGGGGAGGUGGGAAGAAAAGAGCUCACCUGUAGGUGGAUCUUCCAACAAAACAAAUCAACUCUCCACUGCCACUGAGAGCCAUACCAAAACCCCCUCAUUAUUAGAUGACCCUUCCAAUGUGAAUUCCAACAGUGGCAUACAACCUCAUCUGCAAAUAAAGGAAGGCCAGUCCUACUGCUGGUUUGUCUUUGGGAUGUUACAAGCAUACUAAACCUGCUUUGUAUGAUACAAUUAUCUGUUUUCCAGAGGUUUGAUCAAGAACAUCAAUAUUAGUGUUAUCACUAAGAUCAGAGAUCAAAUACUAACAGUCAGUACUCAGUGUGAACCUACAAAAGCCCCAGGGACAGCCACUUCACUCAUCCCCCCAGCCAUCCAGCUGACUCUAGUUUACUACACAUCGUGGCUUACCACAUCUGCACAGUAACAUCUUUCAGGGAGCUGCAAUGUCAUCAUAGGCGUUGGUGAACGGGUAUCCCAGAACUUUAAAGUUUUAUCCCAGCUUCCUGUCAUCACACAGCUGUAAUUGGGUGCUUUAAUCCAAUGGAUGGUCUUCACGGGAGCGUCAUGUUGUGCAAUCUGAAUAGCCUGAUUACUGUUGAGAUCCCACAUUUUGGCAGUUUUAUCACAGGAAGCAGUAAAUACUUUACUUCCAUCAUCACUCCAGCAGCCAUCUAGUACAGGCCCUGUGUGCAUCUGCUGAGCCUUUGGAAUCGUCUGUCCGUUAUCUUGAACUUCCCAGCAACGAACAUCAUUUGCCCACGAUCCUGCGAUAAGGAAAUUGCCUGGUAGCGUUGGUGGACUGAAUGCUAAACAAGAUAUGCUGUCAUCAGGUGGAGAUGUUACUUCAAUAUCCUUCAUUGGGUUGUGAUUAUCCGCAGUCGUGCUGCCGAACAUGCUGGUACCACCGGUACCGAACCCGGACGUGGACCCAAACAGACUCAUCCUCGUUCGGACGGCGGACGACACCUCUCGUGACACGGCCCGGCGGAGCGCAGCGCACGGGGCAGGCCGCGCCUCUCUGCGCAGGCGCCGCGAGCAGAGGGGCGGUGGCGGCGCAGGCGCACCGGCAGCAGGGGUGGGGACGGCGCUCUGCGGGCGGCGCGUUCCGAGCUGCUUCGCUCUCAUAGCGCUGCUGCAGGGCAGCACGGCAAAAGCCGUUCCGGUUCCUUUUUAAUUUAGUACGGGUGGAGCGGUAAGAAAAAGAAAAGCCUGCUGAAAAUACGUGCAUCGGUUUGGGCUGCGGAUCGAUUUUGGAAGCGUUUCCCGUGACAGUCAAUUGCGUUUCUUCAUGUAAAGUUUAUUACACGCUUUAAUCACCGCUGUUUCCGGCUCCUUUUUACUGUUUCAGAGCCAACUACAGAAAAUGAAUGAGGGAUUUUGUCGUGAUGUGCACCAUUAACAGGACUGCUUAUUAGACUCUUAAUGAACAACAUCUGCGUGCUCGCUCGCUCCAAACAAAUAACAGUUGGGGCGCUGGAACAUUUACAGCUGCUGGGAUAUGCAGUAACGAAGAACUGACUGAGCUUUCAGCCCGAACUUACAGAGAACACAAAGCAGUGCAGUCAGUACUGGCGUUUUCAAAAGGAGGUGCUUUGCAAUAAGUUGCCACCAAAGCCCUUUACUUUGCAGAAAUUGAAAGGUGUGCACAGCAUCAUUUUCUGCUUUAAGACAGAAGACAAAACAAUUCCUUGAUACAGUCCUAACGCCAUUUAUAACAACAUUCCCUGGGUGGAAGGAACGCACUUCAGUGUCCUGCUAUGGUCGUGGCACUGCUUUAAGGCUCACUGCAGUGCAGAAGGCACAGGGUGGAACAAACUGUACUAUGUAAAAGAGUUGUGAUUCCUUUUACAGCUUGAAAUAGAAAGAAGAGACAAUCCUAAUCUACUUAUAAGAACAAGCUGAGCAAGAUGCUGAUCCACACUCCUUUAUUUCUCUGUUUUUCUCUAAGAGCAGUCAAGAAAACAAAUCAGUAUGGAGAAAAACGGCUCAUUUGCAAACAGGCAUUCAUAUCCAUCCACAAAAUUGCAAUUUGUUUGGUAAAUACACUCUGGAAAGAUAAUCUGAUGAAAGAGAAGUUAGAACUUGGAUUUCAGCCUUCAUUUUAGAUGCUGCCAUAAUUUCCAGCUAAAAGGGGGGAAAAAAAUGAACUAAUUAAUAUGUGAUGCUGUAACAGCCAGACCCAGAGCCAGGGGUAGAUAUGGGCUUCCUCAAUUGUGCCCUUUUUUACUGUUGCAAAACCUAUCUGCUAUACUGAGAGUUUAUAAGAGUAAGAAGGAACAGGACUGCAGGUGAUAGGAUUUGUCCUGGGGAGAGUAAGAAAUAGGAAACAAGAGGUUUGGACAUACUUCUUUUUUCCACACUGGCUGACAAGCAAUGUAAGGUCUCUUCUGUAGACUUGCUAACUUAUUUUGAUCUUGCUUUGUAAAUGGAAUCAGGACAUCUUUCCGUAUAUUUAAUCUGAAAAGUAAAUAAAGUUAUUACAUUUUCUCAUAUAUUUCAGAAAUACUGAUUCCAAGUUACUGCUUUAUAAGCCAGAAUAAUGGAUGAAAACAGCAAACAAUAUUGGAUUUAAGUGUUGGAUGUUGGUUUUGUUGCUAUUGCUUUGUUUGUUUGAUAAAUUUAGUCAGAUUUUAUUUACUGUCUAUGAAAGAGAAGAAGACUUUCAUUCCUUUUGGGAAAUAACUAACCUCUUGAUGUCGGAUGGAAGGAGACCAAGCCACUUUAUGCAUGGAACGGUGAGCUGGUGAGCCUCAAAAGACAUUGACUAGAAUAAGAAAAACCAAUUGUAACAUUCAGAGACUUUUAGUUAAAUCCUUUGAGAUAUAAGCCUUUCUCAGUUACUGUCAGGUUGUAUUACAGUUGGUUAACUCUUUUCACUAGCAAAACUUUACAGGAGGAAGUAGUGCAACCAGAACUUACCAUACUCCAUUACUGAGAACAGUUUCUUUUUUAUGGCUUCAGCCAUUAGAGAUUCUAGAUUGGUCCCUUCUGUUCUUUUUAUUUUGUCAUGUUGUUUUUGUUUGUUUGCUGUCACCUUGAGUUCCAUUGCCAAACAAAACUGAAGCCAGGAGAAGCAGUGACAACUACAAUUGGAAGUUCCUGAUAUUUCCUGCUACAAGCACCACAUUAUAUAUAAUCAGCGAAUUUCACUGUGUCCCUGAGGCUUCUGUUAUGACAUAUACAUAACAGAACAGAGCGAGCCUGGACAUCAUCCAUGACUGUUUCCAGAAGGUGGGUUUUGUUUGUUUGUUUGUUUUCUUUAGAUGUUCUUCCUCCAUCUCCCCAGAAAGCUGUUUCUGCUCUCUGCCACCAGCCUGCCUUCCAUACUGUCUUUCUGUACCUACUCUUUUAGUGAUGUAAAGUGCCCCUUCUUGUUCCCUUUGCCUUUUCCUCCAUAAUAUUCCACACUAAAAUAUGUAUCCAUACACAAAUUCUCACCCCAAACCAAAACCUUUACCAACACAACAUUCUUUGGAGAACCAUACUGUUC